This 340-nucleotide ribosomal RNA is filed under the name uncultured Bacteroidales bacterium. Its description in RNAcentral is "partial 16S ribosomal RNA". The record is from RNAcentral. Lineage: Bacteria; Pseudomonadati; Bacteroidota; Bacteroidia; Bacteroidales.
GGAGUCUGGACCGUGUCUCAGUUCCAAUGUGGGGGGACCUUCCUCUCAGAACCCCUAACCAUCGUCGCCUUGGUAGGCCGUUACCCUACCAACUAGCUAAUGGUACGCGAGCCGAUCCGAUAACGAUAAAUCUCUCAACAACAGCCCAUGCGGACCAUUGUGUUACGGGGUAUUACACAUCGUUUCCAAUGACUAUCCCCCACGUAUCGGGCACGUUGCUCACGCGUUACUCACCCUUUCGCCGGUCGCCGCCAAGGUAUUGCUACCUCGCGCUGCCCCUCCGACUUGCAUGUGUUAAGCCUGCCGCUAGCGUUCAUCCUGAGCCACUGAUCAAAACUCU